Non-coding RNA from Drosophila melanogaster (fruit fly), 92 nucleotides. Its record names the gene mir-962. Lineage: Eukaryota; Metazoa; Arthropoda; Insecta; Diptera; Drosophilidae. The record is from Ensembl.
GAUGGGGCACUCAGGCUAUAAGGUAGAGAAAUUGAUGCUGUCUACACUAUUCAGACUUCAGUUUCAUUACCUUUCAAUUUGUUUGCCCCCAU